RNAcentral lists this small nuclear RNA (107 nucleotides) under Cervus elaphus hippelaphus. Its description in RNAcentral is "U2 spliceosomal RNA". It matches the Rfam family "U2 spliceosomal RNA". From Rfam's summary of the family: U2 is a small nuclear RNA (snRNA) component of the spliceosome (involved in pre-mRNA splicing). Complementary binding between U2 snRNA (in an area lying towards the 5' end but 3' to hairpin I) and the branchpoint sequence (BPS) of the intron results the bulging out of an unpaired adenosine, on the BPS, which initiates a nucleophilic attack at the intronic 5' splice site, thus starting the first of two transesterification reactions that mediate splicing. RNAcentral also lists the same sequence under 1 other name. Lineage: Eukaryota; Metazoa; Chordata; Mammalia; Artiodactyla; Cervidae. The record is from Rfam by way of RNAcentral.
AGUACUUCUCAGUCUUUUGUCUAAAAUCAAGUGUAGUAUCUGUUCUCAUCAGCUUAAUAAUUGUCCAUACUCAUGGCAUGUAAUAGUUUAAAAAAUAAUGACCCAAU